Molecule: ribosomal RNA, 418 nt
Filed under: uncultured bacterium
Lineage: Bacteria
Description: bacterial SSU rRNA
Rfam family: Bacterial small subunit ribosomal RNA
Source: RNAcentral
CAGGCCUAACACAUGCAAGUCGAACGAACCCUUCGGGGUGAGUGGCGCACGGGUGCGUAACACGUGGGAAUAUACACAUAGGUAAGGAAUAACUCAGGGAAACUUGCGCUAAUACCCUAUAAUAACUCCGGUUCAAAGAUUUAUCGCCUAUGGAUUAGCCCGCGCUAGAUUAGUUUGUUGGUGAGGUAAGAGCUCACCAAGACUACGAUCUAUAGCUGGUCUUAGAGGAUGAUCAGCCACACUGGAACUGAGACACGGUCCAGACUCCUACGGGAGGCAGCAGUGAGGAAUAUUGCGCAAUGGAGGAAACUCUGACGCAGCCAUGCCGCGUGAAUGAAGAAGGCCUUAGGGUUGUAAAAUUCUUUCAGAUGCGAAGAUAAUGACGGUACCAUCAGAAGAAGCUCCGGCUAAAUUCGUG